Artibeus jamaicensis (Jamaican fruit-eating bat) is the source of this 1434-nucleotide long non-coding RNA. RefSeq lists it as uncharacterized. The transcript has 2 exons. The record is from RefSeq and is a predicted model, not a curated record. Lineage: Eukaryota; Metazoa; Chordata; Mammalia; Chiroptera; Phyllostomidae.
UGACGCAGGCGGCGGGGUCGCGCACGCACGAGCAGGGGCGGGCCUGGGGACUUACUUGGUGCUCCGCGGAGACGGGCGGUGCCGUGAAAUAAUGCCUAGGGAAGCGAGACACGCAUGCGCAGCGGCACCACCGACCCGCGGCCCCGCCCCUGCCCGGUGUCUUCUCACCUACCUGGUGCUGACGGACCCUUCCGGGGCAGCCGCAGGAAAACGGGCGGGGGACGAAAGGCUGCUGGCCAUCCUGAGUGCUCUCGCUCCGGGAACAGAGGCAGGAAACAGAUGUCCUGUUUAGGACCAAGCCGUGAGCCUCGUUCGUUCUUCAGCAGGAAGACGACGAAGGCCGUUCCUACAAUGGGUUUCCGAGCAAACCCGGUUUCGGCAGUGUUACAAGGAGGAGAGUUGGCACACUUCCUUGUCUUCAGUAGGGUGGAGUGUGCUUGAGCCGAUGAUGGGGAAAGUCUUCCUUUGAGAAGAUAAAGCUGUUAAGCCUGUUACUCAAGCAGAGUGCUCAGCAUGUGUCUUUCGUUUAUGUGAGUUUCCCUGUCCUCACAUUUGCUUCUGGACACAAAUGUCAAUAAAAUCAUUGGAGGCCCAGAAGGGCACUGGUGUCAGGGACCCAGCGAUGCGGCACCAUGCCACUGACAUCAUGCCUGCACCCAGCGCCUGCUGCCCAGGUCCGGAUGAGCCGCAGCCACCAGCCUGAGUCUGAGCACUGGGACUUCCAGCCUCCAAGUUCCACUGCAGCACAAACUCAGGCCCGGCACCUGAACCUCACCUCUUCUGUCUCCUAAAGGGCAAGGGCCCAGCACUGGCUGCUUGUUAGUGGAAGGGUUAGUUCAUCCUGGACAGUGGAGACAGAAAGAUUUCUCCCCAGGAGCACCCACGGAAGAGGCCCCAUCCAUGCUGGGCUGCAAGGAGGGGGCUUUCACUCUUAGUUUGUUACAGGCGAGAGGAAAACACUCCUACGAGUCACUGCCUUCCGACCCUCUCCUGAGAACACUUGGACCCCAGAGAGGCAGUGAGACCAGAGGGUCGUUUCGUGGCCCCGGGACACCACAGGCUCCAGACGGGAUAGGAGGCAGGGAGACACAGGCCUGGCUCCCCCAGUGCUCCUGUCCCUGAGCUCUGCUCUGCUCUACCCCUCAGGGGUAGGGAUUCUGUCCGGGACGAGAGGGGCCAGGCGGCUGACGUAACAGCAUGGGCGGUCCCGGCUGGCCUCAGGUCCCAUGGCCGCCCACAGAAGGAACCGCUCGUCAGGCCCUGGUCUGGUGCUGAGGACCAGCUGUUACGAUACCCCUUGGUCUUCCAGCUACACCUCUUCCUGAAGAGCUGGAGUUUUUCCACAUGCUUCCACCACUCCAGGCUUUUCUGGGGAAAUUUCAUUGUUUUCAUUUUAUGCUAAAAGUAUGAUUAAAUGAAUUUCUAUUUUUUUAA